GAAAAAUCUAAAGAAAUCAGCCAAGACAGAAAGUCUGGUUCAUCCUUGGGAGCAAUGUCUAAAUAACUGAAGAUACCACUUUCAUCUGUACAAACAAUAGUAUGCAAGUAUAAACACCAUGGGACCCGUCAUACCGCUCAGGAAGGAGACAUGUUCUGUCUCCUAGAGAUGAAUGUACUUUGGGUGUACACAGAGAUGGGACAAGUUCUAACCAAUCCCCAUCACCCACGGUUUAAGUUCCCAGAGACUGAAGAGGAGGCUGAUAUUCCGUAGACCUCUUCCCACAUCAGAGACUACGGACAGGCCUUUCUCUGUGGACCACUUUGAUGACUACCAGAAGCACUUCACUGUCGUGAACUUGCAGAGGGGGUCCAGCUCAAACAGGUUCACUACGAUGAAUUCAUACCCAUGUUUGAAAAGCAGUAUCCAUGGAAAGCGGUUGAGAGGAAGUGACACGGGACUAUGCUUAUGGCAAGAGCAACCAUCUGGUGAAGAGAUGUCGAGUGUUGCAAUGGAUACCAGCUGACUUGGAAGGGGUCAGCACUCAGACCCCUGAACCCUCUGAUCUCUACUACGAAGUAGGGAGACCUGAAACAUGUUUCAUGUGUCAAUACAGUCAGCCAAUUAAUUACUUACUCAAUGUCUUGAGGAAGUUCAUAAGUGAAAAGUCUAUACAUGAAACCUGCAGAGGAAGUCAAAUUAAUUACACUUUGAACAAUGGUUAAUG
This is a long non-coding RNA of Oncorhynchus tshawytscha (Chinook salmon), 727 nucleotides long. Lineage: Eukaryota; Metazoa; Chordata; Actinopteri; Salmoniformes; Salmonidae. The record is from Ensembl.